UUGCGGACGGACACUCGUUGGAGUCGC
This 27-nucleotide small RNA is filed under the name Bombyx mori (domestic silkworm). RNAcentral describes it as "ovarian small RNA-37863". The record is from RNAcentral. Lineage: Eukaryota; Metazoa; Arthropoda; Insecta; Lepidoptera; Bombycidae.